This 377-nucleotide ribosomal RNA is filed under the name Cubaris murina. RNAcentral describes it as "partial 12S ribosomal RNA". Lineage: Eukaryota; Metazoa; Arthropoda; Malacostraca; Isopoda; Armadillidae. The record is from RNAcentral.
AAACUAGGAUUAGAUACCCUAUUAUACGGAGAAAAAAAGUCUUUAGGUAGUAAUUGCUAGGGUCCCGAAACCUAAAGGAUUUGGCGGUGCCUGAUUCAAUCAGAGGAACCUGCUCAGUAAGCGAUAAUCCGCGGUAAAUCUAACUCGUCAGAGGUUUGUAUACCGUUAUCUUAACCCCCCCCAGAAGGACCCGUUAAAAUAGAUUACCUUAGCAAGUUAGAUCGAGGUGCAGCUUUGAGGAGGAAGGGUGGGUUACAGUUUACGCGCAAUUGGACAAUCUUUGAAGCAACGGGUUGACAAAUAGGAUUUGAAAGUAAUUCGAGUUUAAUACGCUUGGAUGAAUGCAGUCUCAGGUGCGCACACAUCGCCCGUCGCUC